CUCGAACGCCUGCAAACAUAGCGGAUAACUGUACAAAGGCAACCAGAGGGCGCGACCAUCAGGCAGGACGAGAAACACAUCAAAAUAUAAGUUUUAUAUCAUUACACCGACCUGGGGUCGGCGACGCUCAUCCGAAAUAGUGGACUGAUAAAACAGUCUGUGCACAACGCUAGAUUUGGACCGGGGGUCUACCUAACUGAAAUGCAACCCACUGCGUCCUUAAACGAGAUUAUUUUCAACAACUAUGACGACGACAUGUGACAAGGGCACAGUGGAAUCAACUGAUCGUGCAAAGAGGAAUGAAAUGUGAAGUUUGCAUCGAGCUGAAAAUUAGCAGCCGUCUGUUUCAAGAAAAGGUCGUGCAGUGCGAAACUGAUCGGAACGUCUUCUUGUAUAAGGGGGACUUGAUCUUAGCUCAAUGACUGAGUUUGUAUUCCGUGUUCGCUAAAACAUGUUUAAUAGAUCGCGUCAAUUCUAUUAUACACAUAUAACAUUUCAUACGUUUGAUUAGAUGUGCGGUCAUCUGCAUUUCUUUUGGUCUACGAGAAAGUGACACAGCACACACAAUCAUGUACAUGGAAAUAUAUCAGUAGAAAUAAAUAUAUAAAAAGGUAACUCGAGUUAUG
Long non-coding RNA from Mya arenaria, 626 nucleotides. RefSeq lists it as uncharacterized. The record is from RefSeq and is a predicted model, not a curated record. Lineage: Eukaryota; Metazoa; Mollusca; Bivalvia; Myida; Myidae. The transcript is spliced from 3 exons.